UACAGAGGAGCCAAGCGUUGUCCGGAUUGACUGGGCGUAAAGCGCACGCAGGCGGAUGCGCGCGUGGGGUGUGAAAUCUGGCCGCUUAACGGCCAGGCGCCAUCCCAUACGGCGCGUCUGGAGUGAUGCAGAGGUCGGUGGAAUUCCCGGUGUAGCGGUGAAAUGCGCAGAUAUCGGGAAGAACACCCGUGGCGAAGGCGGCUCUCUGGGACGGUACUGACGCUGAGACGCGAAAGCGUGGGGAGCGAACAGG
RNAcentral lists this ribosomal RNA (253 nucleotides) under uncultured bacterium. Its description in RNAcentral is "partial 16S ribosomal RNA". It matches the Rfam family "Bacterial small subunit ribosomal RNA", at positions 524 to 776 of the family's 1533-position model. The record is from RNAcentral.